Molecule: ribosomal RNA, 238 nt
Filed under: Trichococcus flocculiformis
Lineage: Bacteria; Bacillati; Bacillota; Bacilli; Lactobacillales; Carnobacteriaceae
Description: partial 16S ribosomal RNA
Source: RNAcentral
UGCUUAAAGUAGAAACAGAUAAGCGAGUCGUACAAGGUAGCCGUAAAAAAAGGUCGAAAAAAAGAAAGAAGGGGCCCCUUAGGUUUCCGGCCAAUAAGAGGGGGAUAAAAAAAGGAAAACGGGUGCUAAUACCGCAUAGUUUUCUUGAUCGCAUGAUUGAGAAAGGAAAGACGGCCUUUGUGCUGUCUCUUCAGAAUGGACCCGCGGCUAUUAGUUAUUGGUAAGGAUGGUUUUCAUU